Molecule: transfer RNA, 75 nt
Filed under: Rhodanobacteraceae bacterium
Lineage: Bacteria; Pseudomonadati; Pseudomonadota; Gammaproteobacteria; Lysobacterales; Rhodanobacteraceae
Also listed under: 1 other name
Description: tRNA-Lys
Rfam family: tRNA
About the family: Transfer RNA (tRNA) molecules are approximately 80 nucleotides in length.
Source: RNAcentral
GGGCCGUUAGCUCAGCGGUAGAGCAGUGGACUUUUAAUCCAUUGGUCGAGAGUUCGAACCUCUCACGGCCCACCA